GCAUAAUUGGGAAUUUAGGGUUAAGUGUGAACCUUAGAGCUUGAAGAAAUCCACCUCCGUGAAACGCACGAAACGGCGCCGGUGCUCCUUGCCACUCAUCUUCUCCGACGUAAAUCCCUGGCCACCGUCGUAGACACGACGGAAUGAAUUCAACCUCGCCUCGGUUCCCCUUCCCUCAUCGCUCCUCUCUGAUACAGUGUUGUUGUUGUUGCGGCUUGAUGCGGUGAUGAGGCGAUGAAGAUAUCGGUGAUGAGAAAUCAGAGUAAGUGUUGACGUUGACCUUUUACUUCCUCUCUCUGAUUCUUCUCUUUUUUCUCUGUAGAUUUUGAGGGAUGAAGGUAUCAGAUGCGAGAGACAAAGGAAGUUUCUGCAGAAUCGAUGAUUUGAGAUUGAAGAAUUCGUGAAGAAAGGUGGAUGAAGAAGAUGAUGGAAGUAUGGUGAUUUUCAGAAAGAGUGCGAAGAUGGUCAAGUGAAGGGUGAGGAAUGUAUAUGGAGGAGGAUAAUGGAAGCAGGGUGGUGAAGUCAGGGUGAUGAUGAAUGAAUGAAGAAAGGUUGAAGGUUCUGUAUGUGAAGAUCGAUUCUGAAUCUGAAGAUUGAAGAUGAAAGUGAGGUAUGAAGUGUGGAGAGUGAAUGGUUAUGGGGUGAAGAAGUAGAGUGAAGGCAGAGAAUGAAGCUGAAGAAUGAAGAGAAUCCCUGUUAUAUAGAUAUGCAGCCAAUCGGAUUUUGAAGGUUUUCAAGUGUUUGGAUGCUGCAAGUUUCUGAGCCUUGCUCUUAAUGAUAAGUGAUGCGAACUUAUUUUUUUGUGUAUGCUGCUGAUUAAACUGUUUUCAACAUAAUGCCAAAUGCCUUGAAUUUUGUAUGGUUUGGAAUUCAAAUUGAAAUGCUUCUUUUUUUUCUUUUGUAGGAUUUGGAAAAGGCUGGAACAUGGCAUUGGCAGUAAGAUGGCAGUGUGAAUUUUGGAGGAGAAGGUCAUUUGAAAGUUUAUGGCAAAGGGUUUAGAAGUAAUAGGCUUUAUGAAAUCAUGUCGUCUUGGUUUGAAGCAUAUCUUUGUGUAGUCUUCUUUGUACUCUCUUUGUAAUGGAAUUGUAUUGUUGUAAUGGAGACAUUUGGUAACAGAACUUGUAAUUUUGACAUCGUUCCAUAAUAAUUA
Vicia villosa (hairy vetch) is the source of this 1150-nucleotide long non-coding RNA. RefSeq lists it as uncharacterized. The transcript is spliced from 3 exons. The record is from RefSeq and is a predicted model, not a curated record. NCBI's taxonomy places the organism in Eukaryota, Viridiplantae, Streptophyta, Magnoliopsida, Fabales, Fabaceae.